GUGGGGAAUCUUCCGCAAUGGACGAAAGUCUGACGGAGCAACGCCGCGUGAGUGAUGAAGGUCUUCGGAUUGUAAAGCUCUGUUAAUCGGGACGAAAGAGCCUAGUGUGAAUAAUGCUAGGAAGUGACGGUACCGGAAUAGAAAGCCACGGCUAACUACGUGCCAGCAGCCGCGGUAAUACGUAGGUGGCAAGCGUUGUCCGGAAUUAUUGGGCGUAAAGCGCGCGAAGGCGGAUCUGCCAGUCUGUCUUAAAAGUUCGGGGCUUAACCCCGUGAUGGGAUGGAAACUACAGAUCUAGAGUAUCGGAGAGGAAAGUGGAAUUCCUAGUGUAGCGGUGAAAUGCGUAGAUAUUAGGAAGAACACCAGUGGCGAAGGCGACUUUCUGGACGAAAACUGACGCUGAGGCGCGAAAGCCAGGGGAGCGAACGGGAUUAGAUACCCUAGUAGUCC
Molecule: ribosomal RNA, 450 nt
Filed under: uncultured bacterium
Lineage: Bacteria
Description: partial 16S ribosomal RNA
Rfam family: Bacterial small subunit ribosomal RNA
Source: RNAcentral